GCAGCAACGCCGCGUGCCCGAUGACGGCCUUCGGGUUGUAAAGGGCUKUYYUGAGGGACGAGAAAGGACGGUACCUCAGGAAUAAGGAUCKGCUAACUACGUGCCAGCAGCCGCGGUAACACGUAGGAUUCGAGCGUUAUCCGAAUUUACUGGGCGUAAAGCGCKUGUAGGCGGUUACGCAAGGUGGAUGUGAAAUCUUCCGGCUCAACUGGGAGAGGCCGUCCAAAGCUGCGUGGCUAGAGAGCGACAGAGGGAGGUGGAAUUCCCGGUGUAGUGGUGAAAUGCGUAGAUAUCGGGAGGAACACCAGAGGCGAAAGCGGCCUCCUGGGUCGCAUCUGACGCUGAGACGCGAAAGCCAGGGGAGCGAACGGGAUUAGAUACCCCGGUAGUCCUGGCUGUAAACGAUGCAGACUAGGCGUUUGGGAGGUAAAACUCUUGAGUGCCGGAGCUAACGCGAUAAGUCUGCCGCCUGGGAAGUACGGUCGCAAGGCUAAAACUCAAAGGAAUUGGCGGGUCCCCGCACAAGCAGCGGAGCGUGUGGUUUAAUUCGAUGCUACGCGAAGAACCUUACCCGGGUUUGACAUGCUGGUGGUAGAGAAGCGAAAGUGGAUCGACCCUUCGGGGAGCCAGCACAGGUGCUGCAUGGCUGUCGUCAGCUCGUGUCGUGAGAUGUCCGGUUAAGUCCGGUAACGAGCGCAACCCUUGCCGUAUGUUACAAGU
Molecule: ribosomal RNA, 720 nt
Filed under: uncultured bacterium
Lineage: Bacteria
Description: bacterial SSU rRNA
Rfam family: Bacterial small subunit ribosomal RNA
Source: RNAcentral